GGAUGUAAAGGAUUUGGAUUAUUUGAGAGGUACCCCUCCCCAGCAAGCUCCCACGCCGGUCGAGGUCUUCAUCCCCCACUGUUAUCUCAAUCACCCCAUCUGAUGGUUCUGCAUCCACUCGUAUUAGGCCUCAUGAAAAAGAAAAGAAGGGCUUGUGGCACCAUUCGUACUAACAGAACCGGUUUCCCGAGACCAAGGUAAACAGCAUGACAAAGACAGUGGAGAAGGGGACCAUACGUUGGAUCAGGACUAACAAGCUGCUGUUUGUGAAAUGGAAGGACACUAGGGAAGUAAACAUGCUCACCACACAGCAUAAGGCAUUCAAUAACAACCAUGUCUCAAGGAGGGUGAAAAAGGAAGAAUGUCCCCAUCCCUGUUUCUGUGAAGGACUACAAUGCCAGCAUGGGGGGUGUCGACCUAUCUGAUGCUCUCUCAGGUCCUCCACAAGACCAGGAAGUGGUAGAAGAUUUUUUUCCCACUUUGUGGAUAUUGCUACAGUAAAUGCUUUCAUUCUCCACAAGCAAAUGGCCAAAGCAAAAGGUCAAACCCCUCUCUCCCAGUUGGCUUUCCGAGAGCAGCUGGUGUUGGCGAUGGCUGAAUUGGGGGCCCAAAACGAACUCACAACCAUCGCAAGACCCCCCACUCAAGGACAAUGACCCAAAACAUCUCCAGGCUGUGUAAGGGCUAUUUGACCAAGGAGGAGAGUGAUGGAGUGCUGCAUCAGAUGACCUGGCCUCCACAAUCACCUGACCUCAACACAUUUGAGAUGGUUUGGGGAUGAGUUGGACCGCAGAGUGAAGGAAAAGCAUCCAACAAGUGCUCAGAAUAUGCCAACAAGUGCUACUUCAAGACUGUUGGAAAAGCAUUCCAGGUGAAGCUAGUUAAGAGAAUACCAAGCGAGUGCAGAGCUGUCAUCAAGGCAAAGGGUGGCUACUUUCAAGAAUCUCAGAUAUAAAAUAUAUUUUUGAUUUGAUUAACACUUUUUUGGUUACUAUGUGAUUCCAUAUGUGUUAUUUCAUAGUUUUGACGUCUGCACUAUUAAUCAACAAUGUAGAAAAUAGUAAAAAUAAAGAAAAACCCAUGAAUGAG
Oncorhynchus keta (chum salmon) is the source of this 1089-nucleotide long non-coding RNA. RefSeq lists it as uncharacterized. NCBI's taxonomy places the organism in Eukaryota, Metazoa, Chordata, Actinopteri, Salmoniformes, Salmonidae. The transcript has 2 exons. The record is from RefSeq and is a predicted model, not a curated record.